UUUAUGGAGAGUUUGAUCCUGGCUCAGAGUGAACGCUGGCGGCGUGCCUAAUACAUGCAAGUCGAACGAUGAAGCUUCUAGCUUGCUAGAGUGCUGAUUAGUGGCGCACGGGUGAGUAACGCAUAGGUUAUGUGCCUCUUAGUUUGGGAUAGCCAUUGGAAACGAUGAUUAAUACCAGAUACUCCCUACGGGGGAAAGAUUUAUCGCUAAGAGAUCAGCCUAUGUCCUAUCAGCUUGUUGGUAAGGUAAUGGCUUACCAAGGCUAUGACGGGUAUCCGGCCUGAGAGGGUGAACGGACACACUGGAACUGAGACACGGUCCAGACUCCUACGGGAGGCAGCAGUAGGGAAUAUUGCUCAAUGGGGGAAACCCUGAAGCAGCAACGCCGCGUGGAGGAUGAAGGUUUUAGGAUUGUAAACUCCUUUUGUUAGAGAAGAUAAUGACGGUAUCUAACGAAUAAGCACCGGCUAACUCCGUGCCAGCAGCCGCGGUAAUACGGAGGGUGCAAGCGUUACUCGGAAUCACUGGGCGUAAAGAGCGCGUAGGCGGGAUAGUCAGUCAGGUGUGAAAUCCUAUGGCUUAACCAUAGAACUGCAUUUGAAACUACUAUUCUAGAGUGUGGGAGAGGUAGGUGGAAUUCUUGGUGUAGGGGUAAAAUCCGUAGAGAUCAAGAGGAAUACUCAUUGCGAAGGCGACCUGCUGGAACAUUACUGACGCUGAUUGCGCGAAAGCGUGGGGAGCAAACAGGAUUAGAUACCCUGGUAGUCCACGCCCUAAACGAUGGAUGCUAGUUGUUGGAGGGCUUAGUCUCUCCAGUAAUGCAGCUAACGCAUUAAGCAUCCCGCCUGGGGAGUACGGUCGCAAGAUUAAAACUCAAAGGAAUAGACGGGGACCCGCACAAGCGGUGGAGCAUGUGGUUUAAUUCGAAGAUACACGAAGAACCUUACCUAGGCUUGACAUUGAGAGAAUCCGCUAGAAAUAGUGGAGUGUCUGGCUUGCUAGACCUUGAAAACAGGUGCUGCACGGCUGUCGUCAGCUCGUGUCGUGAGAUGUUGGGUUAAGUCCCGCAACGAGCGCAACCCCCUUUCUUAGUUGCUAACAGGUUAUGCUGAGAACUCUAAGGAUACUGCCUCCGUAAGGAGGAGGAAGGUGGGGACGACGUCAAGUCAUCAUGGCCCUUACGCCUAGGGCUACACACGUGCUACAAUGGGGUGCACAAAGAGAAGCAAUACUGCGAAGUGGAGCUAAUCUUCAAAACACCUCUCAGUUCGGAUUGUAGGCUGCAACUCGCCUGCAUGAAGCUGGAAUCGCUAGUAAUCGCAAAUCAGCCAUGUUGCGGUGAAUACGUUCCCGGGUCUUGUACUCACCGCCCGUCACACCAUGGGAGUUGUGUUUGCCUUAAGUCAGGAUGCUAAAUUGGCUACUGCCCACGGCACACACAGCGACUGGGGUGAAGUCGUAACAAGGUAACCGUAGGUGAACCUGCGGUUGGAUCACCUCCUUUCUAGA
This 1509-nucleotide ribosomal RNA is filed under the name Helicobacter pylori. RNAcentral's name for it is "bacterial SSU rRNA". It matches the Rfam family "Bacterial small subunit ribosomal RNA". The record is from RNAcentral. Lineage: Bacteria; Pseudomonadati; Campylobacterota; Epsilonproteobacteria; Campylobacterales; Helicobacteraceae.